RNAcentral lists this ribosomal RNA (253 nucleotides) under uncultured bacterium. RNAcentral's name for it is "partial 16S ribosomal RNA". It matches the Rfam family "Bacterial small subunit ribosomal RNA", at positions 524 to 776 of the family's 1533-position model. The record is from RNAcentral.
UACAGAGGGGGCAAGCGUUGUCCGGAUUUACUGGGCGUACAGCGCGCGCAGGCGGCUGGGUACGUGCCGUGUGACAUACGGAAGCUUAACUUCCGGGGGCCAUGGUAGACGACCCGGCUGGAGGCAGGGAGAGGGAUGUGGAAUACCCGGUGGAGCGGUGAAAUGCGUAGAGAUCGGGUGGAACACCAGCGGCGAAGGCGGCAUCCUGGCCCUGACCUGACGCUGAGGCGCGAGAGCGUGGGGAGCGAACCGG